RNAcentral lists this ribosomal RNA (403 nucleotides) under bacterium. Its description in RNAcentral is "partial 16S ribosomal RNA". It matches the Rfam family "Bacterial small subunit ribosomal RNA", at positions 355 to 776 of the family's 1533-position model. The record is from RNAcentral.
UGGGGAAUAUUGCACAAUGGGGGAAACCCUGAUGCAGCGACGCCGCGUGAACGAAGAAGGUCUUCGUAUCGUAAAGUUCUGUCCUUUGGGAAGAUAAUGACAGUACCAUAGAAGAAAGCUCCGGCUAAAUACGUGCCAGCAGCCGCGGUAAUACGUAUGGAGCGAGCGUUGUCCGGAAUUAUUGGGCGUAAAGGGUACGCAGGCGGUUUAAUAAGUCGAAUGUUAAAGAUCGGGGCUCAACCCCGCAAAGCAUUGGAAACUGAUAAACUUGAGUAGUGGAGAGGAAAGUGGAAUUACUAGUGUAGUGGUGAAAUACGUAGAUAUUAGGAGGAAUACCAGUAGCGAAGGUGACUUUCUGGACAGAAACUGACGCUGAGGUACGAAAGCGUGGGGAGCAAACAGG